Molecule: long non-coding RNA, 1635 nt
Organism: Microtus ochrogaster (prairie vole)
Lineage: Eukaryota; Metazoa; Chordata; Mammalia; Rodentia; Cricetidae
Source: RefSeq, a predicted model, not a curated record
UCUGCUGGAAGUGGUGUCUUGCUCCUAGCUGGCACACUUUGCAGGGGCUGAUUGUGCUCAGCUUGGGGGCAUGAGCAUUGUGGCAUCGUGGGAUGUUCUCUCAGUCUGUGACUUGAAGGUUAUGAGCUCGGAGAAGAGACAGUUAAAGCUUCCUCGCGCCAGCGAGAUGAGUUGUACCACCCAGCGCCCAUGCCAGGUCAGCAGUUUGGAUGGAGCUGAGACACUUACCGGCUGUGCCAAGCAGUGUCAGACACCUCUGGAAGCCCCUGCCUAGGACCCCGAAUUUAGAUUCAUGCUGCAGUCUGGGGAAUGUUUUUGACGUCUGCCGGGCUACAGGGAAAAGCGCACUGCACACACACAGCUUCUGAGAAGAGACAGAGCUCUCCAGGCUGGGCGUCAGAGGAAGCUGGACCUGGGCAGGACUGCUCAGAUAUCCAGCUUCCUGCAGUGAACGGAGCUGCCCAGCUCACCUGCGGUCAGCAGGCUCCAGGAUUAUAUCAUCUUUAUUAUCUAGCGCCCUACCUGUGACAGGUGAGGAAACCAGCCCAGUCUCUAGUGACACAACAGAGCCCCACAGAUACCACAUUCUUCAAUGUCUGCACCGUAGCUGUUGGAUCUGUUUACCUUUGUGGAUCUGGGUAUUUGUCAAGACAGCGAUGUUGAAAUCUGAAAGCAGUGUUGAUAACGCCAUUCAUAAAUCUCAGUCAUCAUGAUGAUGUUGUUUUCUCUUUUUGUGACCAAGAAUGUGUUCUUUUUGGCCUUUGCGUCGUGAGACCCAAGGCAGAAGUGCCUAGAUAACUCAAGAUGCUGUAUUUGAGAAGCACACAGAAGAGGUGAAGAAACUUCCAUGGAAAAGUAAGAGUGUAUUUGGACAGUGGGAAUAACACGUGUUUGGGCAAGGCGAUGGCUGGUUCUUGUUGAUGCCACCUGGUUGCGGUUUGGUGAAAUCUCUGAAAUAAGCACUUUGCCCAUACACAGGGUCGUGGAGGGCAUAAGGAUCUUGAGGGCAUUGGUCCUGGAAGCAUCAGUGAGAUAACACAGUGCAGAGGGGACUCUCUGCUUCUACUGGAACCAUCAUUCGAGGCUCAGAAAGAAUAUCUGUGUUGGACAUGGCUCUAAUGCACCCUGUCUACAGGAAUAGUGUAUUUCCUGGGGAACAUGGGGAUAUUGUAUUCCUGAAGAAACACUGAAGAAGAAAGUACAGCUCCUCCCCGGGGUUUGGAUCAUUCUGAACUACAUGGAAUUCUGCUUAUGUCCAGGAGGAGUGGCUUAAAGUGUGGCUGUGAUUGAGCGGGUUGAAGACAAAUUAGGAUCAUAUUUUAUUCUAUACAGUGAUAGAUACAGUGGAUUUCAUGUUCUUUAGAAAUAUGUGCAAUCAAUGCUGGUGUUGAAAGGAAAGAUAGAGAUGAUCCUUCCUCGGGCAAGCAAAAACAGAUAUGGACUCGGUUUGUGAAUGGUGGCCUGGAGGGACCCGGCAUGGUAUUGAUGAUCUCUAGAAACUUCCAGACGAACAAAUGUGGGUGUCCCCUGUUAGAUUACUGAGUGCAGGUACUGCAGAAGACUUCUGGUGUUUUCUACAGAUAAAUGCUUACACAGAACUGUUUAUUACUGUAAUACAAUCAUGCUAUCACAGGC